GACGAACGCUGGCGGCGUGCCUAAUACAUGCAAGUUGAGCGCUGAAGGUUGGUACUUGUACCAACUGGAUGAGCAGCGAACGGGUGAGUAACGCGUGGGGAAUCUGCCUUUGAGCGGGGGACAACAUUUGGAAACGAAUGCUAAUACCGCAUAAAAACUUUAAACACAAGUUUUAAGUUUGAAAGAUGCAAUUGCAUCACUCAAAGAUGAUCCCGCGUUGUAUUAGCUAGUUGGUGAGGUAAAGGCUCACCAAGGCGAUGAUACAUAGCCGACCUGAGAGGGUGAUCGGCCACAUUGGGACUGAGACCCGGCCCAAACUCCCACGGGAGGCAGCAGUAGGGAAUCUUCGGCAAUGGACGAAAGUCUGACCGAGCAACGCCGCGUGAGUGAAGAAGGUUUUCGGAUCGUAAAACUCUGUUGGUAGAGAAGAACGUUGGUGAGAGUGGAAAGCUCAUCAAGUGACGGUAACUACCCAGAAAGGGACGGCUAACUACGUG
This 497-nucleotide ribosomal RNA is filed under the name uncultured bacterium. Its description in RNAcentral is "partial 16S ribosomal RNA". It matches the Rfam family "Bacterial small subunit ribosomal RNA", at positions 28 to 507 of the family's 1533-position model. The record is from RNAcentral.